This 241-nucleotide unclassified non-coding RNA is filed under the name Hevea brasiliensis (rubber tree). Lineage: Eukaryota; Viridiplantae; Streptophyta; Magnoliopsida; Malpighiales; Euphorbiaceae. The record is from RNAcentral.
GACUUUUAUCAAACAGGUUUUAGCCACAGGGACAGAGAGGAAGGAGAGGAAGGAGAGAGUUAUAUAGAGUUAGCGAGCCAGUGAGACGAGAUAGAUUGUUUUGAAUUUUAGGGAUUUAUUAAUUUCCCACUCCAAGCGGAUAUUUGAAAUUUUCGCGCCAAAAUGGUGAAGGAGCCUGUUUGCUUUUUCUUCUUCAAUGGAGUCAAUGUGUUGUGCGCUGGAUGAGUACAGGAGCUGUGGG